GCCCGGGUGGCGGAAUAGGCAGACGCACGGGACUUAAAAUCCCGCGAGGUUUACCCCUCGUGCCGGUUCGACCCCGGCCUCGGGCA
Molecule: transfer RNA, 86 nt
Filed under: Syntrophomonas wolfei subsp. wolfei str. Goettingen G311
Lineage: Bacteria; Bacillati; Bacillota; Clostridia; Eubacteriales; Syntrophomonadaceae
Description: Syntrophomonas wolfei subsp. wolfei str. Goettingen tRNA
Rfam family: tRNA
About the family: Transfer RNA (tRNA) molecules are approximately 80 nucleotides in length. Their secondary structure includes four short double-helical elements and three loops (D, anti-codon, and T loops). Further hydrogen bonds mediate the characteristic L-shaped molecular structure. tRNAs have two regions of fundamental functional importance: the anti-codon, which is responsible for specific mRNA codon recognition, and the 3' end, to which the tRNAs corresponding amino acid is attached (by aminoacyl-tRNA synthetases). tRNAs cope with the degeneracy of the genetic code in two manners: having more than one tRNA (with a specific anti-codon) for a particular amino acid; and 'wobble' base-pairing, i.e. permitting non-standard base-pairing at the 3rd anti-codon position.
Source: Rfam by way of RNAcentral